CGUAACGCGUGCGGUAGCCUAGCCGUAUCAAGUCGAGGGGUAACAGGAGAUAGCUUGCUAUCUUGCUGACGACGAACGGGUGAGUAACGCGUAGGAAUCUGCCUCAAAGCAGGGAUAGCCCGGGGAAACUCGGAUUAAUACCGUAUAUGUUCUAAGGAAUAAAGAUGCCUUUUGGUGUCGCUUUGAGAUGAGCCUGCGUCCGAUUAGCUUGUUGGUAAGGUAAAAGCUUACCAAGGCGACGAUCGGUAGCUGGUCUGAGAGGACGUACAGCCACACUGGGACUGAGACACGGUCCAGACUCCUACGGGAGGCAGCAGUGGGGAAUAUUGCGCAAUGGGGGCAACCCUGACGCAGCCAUACCGCGUGGAUGAAGAAUGCCUUAGGGUCGUAAAGUCCUUUCAGCAAAGGAAAGAAAUCUUGGCAUUAAUAGUGUCGGGACUUGAUGUUACUUGCAGAAGAAGCACCGGAUAACUCCGUGCCAGCAGCCGCGGUAAUACCGACGGUGCAGCGUUAUCGAAUCCUGGGCGUACGAAGAUGUAGCGGCAGGAAGUGGAGU
Molecule: ribosomal RNA, 556 nt
Filed under: uncultured bacterium
Lineage: Bacteria
Description: bacterial SSU rRNA
Rfam family: Bacterial small subunit ribosomal RNA
Source: RNAcentral